This 467-nucleotide ribosomal RNA is filed under the name uncultured bacterium. RNAcentral's name for it is "partial 16S ribosomal RNA". It matches the Rfam family "Bacterial small subunit ribosomal RNA", at positions 28 to 507 of the family's 1533-position model. The record is from RNAcentral.
GACGAACGCUGGCGGCGUGCUUAACACAUGCAAGUCGAACGGAAAGGCCCUGCUUUUGUGGGGUGCUCGAGUGGCGAACGGGUGAGUACACGUGAGUAACCUGCCCUUGACUUUGGGAUAACUUCAGGAAACCGGGGCUAAUACCGGAUAGGAGUCCCUGCCGCAAGGUGGGGGUUGGAAAGUUUCGGCGGUUGGGGUUGGACCCGCGGCUUAUCAGCUUGUUGGUGGGGUAGUGGCUUACCAAGGCUUUGACGGGUAGCCGGCCUGAGAGGGUGACCGGCCACAUUGGGACUGAGAUACGGCCCAGACUCCUACGGGAGGCAGCAGUUGGGAAGAUUGAACAAUGGGCGGAAGCCUGAUGCAGCAACGCCGCGUGCGGGAUGACGGCCUUCGGGUUGUAAACCGCUUUCGCCUGUGACGAAGCGUGAGUGACGGUAAUGGGUAAAGAAGCACCGGCUAGCUACGUG